RNAcentral lists this long non-coding RNA (312 nucleotides) under Elaeis guineensis (African oil palm). RNAcentral describes it as "long non-coding RNA (EGUI_LNC078521)". The record is from RNAcentral. Lineage: Eukaryota; Viridiplantae; Streptophyta; Magnoliopsida; Arecales; Arecaceae.
CUUGAGAAGCUUAUCCACUUCCUCGGCUAUCGCCUUCUGCCUCUCCGGGGCAUGACUUUGGAUUUUUUCUUUCGUCGGCCGAUGUUUAGGGUCGACUGCCAGAUGAUGUUCCAUGACUUCAGUGUCAAUCCCUGGCAUAUCCGUCGGGACCCAUGCGAAAACAUCCGCAUUCCUUCGGAGAAAAUCCACAAGACGCGUCCGCACCUCCUCCCCCAGGUUGGAGCCAAUUAACACCACAUGCUCCGUGUUCCCAUCAUUCAAAGGGAUCGGUAUUAGGUCUUCGAUUGGACCGCCCCUCUCCUCAGUAAGGUC